CCUACGGGAGGCAGCAGUCGAGAAUCAUUCACAAUGGGGGAAACCCUGAUGGUGCGACACCGCGUGGGGGAAUGAAGGUCUUCGGAUGGUAAACCCCUGUCAUGUGGGAGCAAAUUAAAAAGAUAGUACCACAAGAGGAAGAGACGGCUAACUCUGUGCCAGCAGCCGCGGUAAUACAGAGGUCUCAAGCGUUGUACGGAAUCACUGGGCGUAAAGCGUGCGUAGGCUGUUUCGUAAGUCGUGUGUGAAAGGCGCGGGCUCAACCCGCGGACGGCACAUGAUACUGCGAGACUAGAGUAAUGGAGGGGGAACCGGAAUUCUCGGUGUAGCAGUGAAAUGCGUAGAUAUCGAGAGGAACACUCGUGGCGAAGGCGGGUUCCUGGACAUUAACUGACGCUGAGGCACGAAGGCCAGGGGAGCGAAAGGGAUUAGAUACCCUGGUAGUC
Molecule: ribosomal RNA, 446 nt
Filed under: uncultured bacterium
Lineage: Bacteria
Description: bacterial SSU rRNA
Rfam family: Bacterial small subunit ribosomal RNA
Source: RNAcentral